GAUUAACGCUAGCGGCAGGCAUAAUACAUGCAAGUUGAACGGCAGCACAGGUAGCAAUACUGGGUGGCGAGUGGCGCACGGGUGCGUAACACGUAUGCAACCUACCCUAUACAGGCGAAUAACCUUUAGAAAUGAGGGCUAAUACGCCGUAGUAUUACAGAUGGGCAUCUAUUUGUAAUUAAAGAUUUAUCGGUAUAGGAUGGGCAUGCGUCCCAUUAGUUAGUUGGUAAGGUAACGGCUUACCAAGACGAUGAUGGGUAGGGGAUCUGAGAGGACUUACCCCCACACUGGUACUGAGACACGGACCAGACUCCUACGGGAGGCAGCAGUAAGGAAUAUUGGGCAAUGGCCGCGAGGCUGACCCAGCCAUGCCGCGUGCAGGAAGACGGCCUUAUGGGUUGUAAACUGCUUUUAUACGGGAAUAAUAGAGUGUACGCGUACAUUUAUGCAAGUAUCGUAUGAAUAAGCAUCGGCUAACUACGUG
This 484-nucleotide ribosomal RNA is filed under the name uncultured bacterium. RNAcentral's name for it is "partial 16S ribosomal RNA". It matches the Rfam family "Bacterial small subunit ribosomal RNA", at positions 28 to 507 of the family's 1533-position model. The record is from RNAcentral.